AUUAUUUUGGCAGAUUUAAGUGUAUUAAAUUUAGAAUUUAAUUAUUAUAAUUUUAUAUUAUAAAAUAAUA
This 70-nucleotide transfer RNA is filed under the name Dryinus sp. ZJUH_2016011. RNAcentral's name for it is "tRNA-Leu". The record is from RNAcentral. Lineage: Eukaryota; Metazoa; Arthropoda; Insecta; Hymenoptera; Dryinidae.